This 333-nucleotide ribosomal RNA is filed under the name uncultured bacterium. Its description in RNAcentral is "bacterial SSU rRNA". It matches the Rfam family "Bacterial small subunit ribosomal RNA", at positions 568 to 898 of the family's 1533-position model. The record is from RNAcentral.
CGUGUAGGCGGCCUUUUAAGUCAGACGUGAAAUCCAUGGGCUUAACCCAUGAAUUGCGUUUGAAACUGGAGGGCUUGAGGAUCGGAGAGGGCAGUGGAAUUCCCAGUGUAGCGGUGAAAUGCGUAGAUAUUGGGAGGAACACCAGUGGCGAAGGCGACUGCCUGGACGACACCUGACGCUGAGGCGCGAAAGCUAGGGGAGCAAACGGGAUUAGAUACCCCCGGUAGUCCUAGCCGUAAACGAUGGGUACUAGGUGUGGGAGGUAUCGACCCCUUCCGUGCCGCAGUUAACACAAUAAGUACCCCGCCUGGGGAGUACGGCCGCAAGGUUGAA